GACGAACGCUGGCGGCGUGCUUAACACAUGCAAGUCGAACGGAAAGGCCCUGCUUUUGUGGGGUGCUCGAGUGGCGAACGGGUGAGUAACACGUGAGUAACCUGCCCUUGACUUUGGGAUAACUUCAGGAAACUGGGGCUAAUACCGGAUAGGAGCUCCUGCUGCAUGGUGGGGGUUGGAAAGUUUCGGCGGUUGGGGAUGGACUCGCGGCUUAUCAGCUUGUUGGUGGGGUAGUGGCUUACCAAGGCUUUGACGGGUAGCCGGCCUGAGAGGGUGACCGGCCACAUUGGGACUGAGAUACGGCCCAGACUCCUACGGGAGGCAGCGGUGGGGGAUAUUGCACAAUGGGCGGAAGCCUGAUGCAGCAACGCCGCGUGCGGGAUGACGGCCUUCGGGUUGUAAACCGCUUUCGCCUGUGACGAAGCGUGAGUGACGGUAAUGGGUAAAGAAGCACCGGCUAACUACGUG
This 468-nucleotide ribosomal RNA is filed under the name uncultured bacterium. RNAcentral describes it as "partial 16S ribosomal RNA". It matches the Rfam family "Bacterial small subunit ribosomal RNA", at positions 28 to 507 of the family's 1533-position model. The record is from RNAcentral.